GCCACAUUGGUGUAGUGGUUAAGGCAUCAGGCUAGAAACCUGGAGACCGUGAAUUCUAGUCUCACCUUGGGCA
RNAcentral lists this transfer RNA (73 nucleotides) under Ophiophagus hannah (king cobra). It matches the Rfam family "tRNA". Rfam says of the family: Transfer RNA (tRNA) molecules are approximately 80 nucleotides in length. Their secondary structure includes four short double-helical elements and three loops (D, anti-codon, and T loops). The record is from Rfam by way of RNAcentral. Lineage: Eukaryota; Metazoa; Chordata; Lepidosauria; Squamata; Elapidae.